This 263-nucleotide unclassified non-coding RNA is filed under the name uncultured fungus. RNAcentral describes it as "partial contains small subunit ribosomal RNA, internal transcribed spacer 1, and 5.8S ribosomal RNA". The stretch from base 1 to 73 matches the Rfam family "Eukaryotic small subunit ribosomal RNA", at positions 1759 to 1831 of the family's 1831-position model. Lineage: Eukaryota; Fungi. The record is from RNAcentral.
UCAAACUUGGUCAUUUAGAGGAAGUAAAAGUCGUAACAAGGUUUCCGUAGGUGAACCUGCGGAAGGAUCAUUAUUGGUUUGUGAGCCUAGCACUGGCGACGCUGAUGUUCUGUGCAGCCAUAGGGUUGCACACGUGGCGACCACGCGACAGUCACGUGGCCUGUCAAAAACACACAACACAGAAACUGACAACGACACGACACACACAACACACAACUUUCAACAACGGAUCUCUGGGCUCCUGCAUCGAUGAAGAACGCAGC